CUAAUACCGGAUGUGAUGCAGGGCUCUUCGGAGUGCUGCAGGAAAGACUCCGACAAGGGUCACUGAAGGACGAGCCUGCGGCCCAUCAGCUAGUUGGCGAGGUAAUGGCUCACCAAGGCGAAGACGGGUAGCUGGUCUGAGAGGAUGAUCAGUCACACUGGAACUGAGACACGGUCCAGACUCCUACGGGAGGCAGCAGUGGGGAAUAUUGCGCAAUGGGCGAAAGCCUGACGCAGCCACGCCGCGUGAGCGAUGAAGGCCUUCGGGUCGUAAAGCUCUGUGGGGGGAGAAGAAAAAAAGCCGGUGAAGAGCCGGCCCUGACGGUAUCCCCUUAGCAAGCACCGGCUAACUCCGUG
Molecule: ribosomal RNA, 356 nt
Filed under: uncultured bacterium
Lineage: Bacteria
Description: bacterial SSU rRNA
Rfam family: Bacterial small subunit ribosomal RNA
Source: RNAcentral